Molecule: RNA transcript, 2814 nt
Organism: Echinops telfairi (small Madagascar hedgehog)
Lineage: Eukaryota; Metazoa; Chordata; Mammalia; Afrosoricida; Tenrecidae
Gene: ART3
Gene name: ADP-ribosyltransferase 3 (inactive)
Exons: 9
Source: RefSeq, a predicted model, not a curated record
UUAUAAAAAGAAAAGCAUUCCCUUCUCCGCUCUCGCUGUCAACAACAUCCCUUCCGAAGGCACUCACCACGGAGAGCGUGGAGACUCAGUUUGAGAAGGAGCAUCAGUUAAACCUGCAAAGGCAGGGAAGCCAGAAGAGAAAAAUGAAGACAAGCCAUUUUGAAAUGCUCACCAUGCUGCUGGCAGCUGUGAUCCUAAUAGACAUCUUCCAGGUGAAUGCUGAAAUAUUAGACAUGGCAGCCAAUGCAUUUGAUGAUGAAUACCUGAAAUGCACUGACAGAAUGGAGAUCAAAUACGUCCCCCAACUGCUCAAUGAGGAAAAAGCAAGCCACCAGCUCUUGACAACUGUGUGGGAAAAUGCCAGAACCAAAUGGGAAGCUCAGAAGACUCGGCUCGUUCUCCCGGAGAGUUUUAAAGAUAACCAUGGAGUAGCCCUGAUGGCAUAUAUUUCUGAAGCUCAAGAACAAACCCCCUUUUACCUCAUGUUCAACGAAGCCGUGAAGAUGGCGGGCCAGUCUCGGGAAGACUACAUCUACAGUUUCCAGUUCAAAGCGUUUCAUUUCUACCUGACAAGAGCUGUGCAGUUUCUGAGGGGCCCUUGUGAGGACUCUUACCACACUGUGGUGUACGCCAAAAGCCAGGGCGCGUCGUUUCUGUUUGGAGGGCUAAACCAAGCCAGGUUUGGCCACUUCACCCUGGCUUAUUCAGCCAAGCCCCAAGCUGUCAAUGAGCAGGAUAGCCUGCUCGUCAUCAACACAUGCUUUGGCGUUUCCGUUGAGAAGUUUUUGGAUAAAGAAAGCAAAAGAACUGUUUUAAUUCCUCUGAAUGAGGUGUUUCAAGUGUCACAGGAAGAGAACAGCAAUAGUCUUUUUCUUCGAAGCACAAACAAAACCUGCAGCCACUACGAGUGUGCAUUUCUGGGCGGACUAAAGAGCAAUAAUUGUGUGGAGAACAUAGUCUCUUUUCAGCCCAUCCAUGUCCACGGCCCUGAUGAGAAAACCCAGAAGCUUGCAGACCCUGUCUCAUUACCAGGCACAGAAAGCCACGAGCCUGCUGUGAUGCCUGGUAAGCCUUUUCACGUAAUCUCGACUCCUGUUUCUCAGAUAGCACCUCAGAGGGAGGUGCUGGGGUGAUGAUGUGUGCAGGACAGGGCGGCGGGGAGCUGGAAAGCAACACCUACACUUUAUCUUGGAUUAUGGACUACAGUAUAAACUUUUUAAUUGCUGGGGGUGGGGGUAAUGUGUCACUUUUUCGGAAAAGGAGGCAGGCAGGAAGUCAAAUAAGUUUGGGAACUUGUGCUGCAGGGUUAGGGGAAAGUCGCUGGGUCCUUUAAGAAAGCCAGACGGUGGGACUCAAACAUACCAGUGAUCACGAAGACGGUGCAGGAUCAGGCCCUGCUCCAGCCGGCUGUUCCUAAAGUGGCCAUGAGCUGGUGUCGGCUCCAGAGCAUAGAGCAGCAGCAUGUACGUUCCCAAGCACUUUUAUGUACUCACGACGCUCGCCUCUUUCACUACAAACCUCCAAAUGCACUGCCAUUGAGUGAGUAAAACUGAGCAACCCCACAGACCGAGAACCGACCCUCUGGGUUUCUGAGACCUACCUCUCGACAGGAGUAGAAAGCUUCAUCUUUCUCCGGCAGAGCUGGUGGUGGUUUUGAACUCCUGACCUUUUGGUUAGCAGCCCAAGAAGACGCUCUCACCAAGGUUAAGUAGCUUGCCCAAAGUCAAAGAGCUAAUAGGUAGCUGACAAGCUGAUUUAAAUCCAGCACUGGCUCUUUAAAAAAAAACAACAACAAAACUUACAUCCUGGGCUGACCGUAAAAACGAGGUAAGAGACUAGAUGAUGGGAGUUUGGGAAUUCGAGACUAACUUGCAUUAGACUUUGUGCCAUUAGAGAAUGAAGAACCAUUGAAAGUUGUUUUUCUUGUUAUUGUGGGUUUUUUGGUUUCUCUUUGAAAGUUGGAAAUGGGGCGGCCUAGACCAAAGGUGCAUUAACAACAUAACUGGUUAACAUUAACCAAUAUUCAUUUCUGUCCUUAGAGGUGAAAAAGCACGAACCCACUCAAAUGCCUGGAAUGAAAAUGCCAGAACUGUUUUCAUUACCUGCCCGUGGCACACUGCCAGUUCCAGUGCCAGGACCCAAAACCCACCCCUCGGCCUCCUCUGUGCAAAUCCUCCUUCCACCGCUUGGGACACUCAUCAUUUUAACCUGUGCUUCUGCCGUCCAUCUCUUUGUUGCUCUUUAGUUUAGUAUGCUCUGUAGUUUAGUAUGCUCUUUCUCAUCUGAAAGAUACUACAGGGAUCCUUUGUCACUUGUUGGCCAAAGUCUCAUGGGGAAAAUGAGAAUCGUAUUCUUUGUUAGUCAUUUCACAAGUUCAGAAAGUUGGUCCAGGUAGGAUCUGUCAUAGCAUUAACUUUUCACAGGCUUCUAUAUUAACCUAAUGGUUGGAAGAAAAAAAACCCAAAAACCAAACCAAUCCCAAAUCUGUAUACUUGUUUGAGUUCAAUAAAAGCCUGUAAGAUUAUUUAAGUAGUUUCAGUAGAAUUAGCAGAUAUUAAAAUGUCUGAUACUAAUGAUAGUGGCUUUAAUACCUGAUUUAGAAUAUUAAAGCAUCUACAGGAUCACCUCUUUGCAGACGUAAACUUUUAAUAGUUUCACCUUUCCAUGGCAACCUCCCCAAAUGGGAACAUUUUGUAUUUCUAUGAGCACAACAGUUCACAGUUCCUGUGGAGUCGCACUUGAAUCUCACAGGUGACGUAGUACAGGACUUUUAGGCAUUACAGUGGUUGAAUAAAGCACAGACUUUGUAACCAA